RNAcentral lists this small nuclear RNA (104 nucleotides) under Tupaia belangeri chinensis (Chinese tree shrew). The record is from RNAcentral. Lineage: Eukaryota; Metazoa; Chordata; Mammalia; Scandentia; Tupaiidae.
GUGCUCGCUUUGGCAGCACAUAUACUAAAAUUGGAACGAUGCAGAGAUUAGCAUGGCCCCUGCUCAAGGAUGACAUGCAAAUUCGUGAAGCGUUCCAUAUUUUU